This 94-nucleotide transfer RNA is filed under the name Harpegnathos saltator (Jerdon's jumping ant). It matches the Rfam family "tRNA". From Rfam's summary of the family: Transfer RNA (tRNA) molecules are approximately 80 nucleotides in length. Their secondary structure includes four short double-helical elements and three loops (D, anti-codon, and T loops). Lineage: Eukaryota; Metazoa; Arthropoda; Insecta; Hymenoptera; Formicidae. The record is from Rfam by way of RNAcentral.
CCUUCGAUAGCUCAGUUGGUAGAGCGGUGGACUGUAGUCGGGUCGAUGAGAGAGAGAUAUCCAUAGGUCGCUGGUUCAAAUCCGGCUCGAAGGA